AUCCAGCUGACGAGUCUCAAAUAGGAAGAAAUGCGCGUCAAACUGGAU
Molecule: non-coding RNA, 48 nt
Organism: Schistosoma curassoni
Lineage: Eukaryota; Metazoa; Platyhelminthes; Trematoda; Strigeidida; Schistosomatidae
Source: Rfam